GAUUAGCCAUGCGAGUUGAAUGUUCUUCGUGAACAUGGCGGACUGCUCAGUAACACGUGGACAACCUACCCUUGGAUCUGGGAUAAACCCGGGAAACUGGGCAUAAUACCGGAUAAGCCACAUAUGCUGGAAUGCUUUGUGGCUCAAAGCUCCGGCGUCCAAGGAUGGGUCUGCGGCCUAUCAGGGUAGUAGUGGGUGUAAUGUACCUACUAGCCUACGACGGGUACGGGUUGUGAGAGCAAGAGCCCGGAGAUGGAUUCUGAGACACGAAUCCAGGCCCUACGGGGUGCAGCAGGCGCGAAAACUUUACAAUGCGGGAAACCGCGAUAAGGGAAUCUCGAGUGCCAGCAUAUAAUGUUGGCUGUCCAGAUGCCUAAAAAGCAUUUGUUAGCAAGGGCCGGGCAAGACCGGUGCCAGCCGCCGCGGUAACACCGGCGGCCCGAGUGGUAACCGUUAUUAUUGGGUCUAAAGGGUCUGUAGCCGGCCGAAUAAGUCUCUUGGGAAAUCUGGCAGCUUAACUGUCAGGCAGUCAGGGGAUACUGUUCGGCUUGGGACCGGGAGAGGUGAGAGGUACCUCGGGGGUAGGGGUGAAAUCUUGUGAUCCUCGAGGGACCACCAGUGGCGAAGGCGUCUCACCAGAACGGGUCCGACGGUAAGGGACGAAAGCUAGGGGCACGAACCGGAUUAGAUACCCGGGUAGUCCUAGCCGUAAACGAUGCUUGCUAGGUGUCAGCCACGGUGCGACCGUGGUUGGUGCCGUAGGGAAGCCGUGAAGCGAGCCACCUGGGAAGUACGGCCGCAAGGCUGAAACUUAAAGGAAUUGGCGGGGAGCACUACAACGGGUGA
This 846-nucleotide ribosomal RNA is filed under the name uncultured Methanosarcinales archaeon. RNAcentral's name for it is "bacterial SSU rRNA". It matches the Rfam family "Archaeal small subunit ribosomal RNA", at positions 43 to 891 of the family's 1478-position model. Lineage: Archaea; Methanobacteriati; Methanobacteriota; Methanomicrobia; Methanosarcinales. The record is from RNAcentral.